This 2550-nucleotide ribosomal RNA is filed under the name Triticum aestivum (bread wheat). Its description in RNAcentral is "partial small subunit ribosomal RNA". The stretch from base 36 to 122 matches the Rfam family "MIR1120/MIR1122 microRNA precursor family". Lineage: Eukaryota; Viridiplantae; Streptophyta; Magnoliopsida; Poales; Poaceae. The record is from RNAcentral.
GUGAUAUUCCAGAGUAUCUUUUUCAUGUAUAAUAAGUACUCCCUCUGUAAACUAAUAUAAGAGCGUUUAGAUCACUAAAAUAGUAAUCUAAACACUCUUAUAUUAGUUUACGGAGGGAGUACCUUCCAGCUAAGUGAAGAUGCAUCUUUUUCAGCAUGUGCAAACUAAUUUUUGGUUAUAUCUAUUUCGACGAUGUGUUUGUAUAUCUGACAGAAGUAGCUCUUUUUUGUUUAUGAAUAUGAGCUGGACCAUCCAAAAACACUUCGUUCAAAUGCAGAGAUGUUGGAUGUAGUAUCUGAUUAUCUGUUCUCCAUUUUUGCAUCCUGUAUGCAUCUCACAUUCUUUUUAUUUUUAGUGUGAUAAAAAUAUUCUUUUUUGAACAUGCUAUCACUUUGUCAUAUCAUGGAGAAACUUCUCUCUUUCUCUUAUUUGGAUACAAUGUGUUCCCUAUGGAGAAAACAUGGUGUUUUGGUCUGUUACAUCUUAUUUUUCAGGUGCCCCCAGCUAUCAGGUUUGUAUUGGAUAGAGUAAUACCACCUUAUUUACUGGCAAAGGGUCUGAUUUUACAUGUAAGCCUACAAAAUAUCCUUGGUGAUGCUAAAAUUUAUCUUUUUGUUAGGAUUUUCUCAUUGUAACUGAAAAGUCUGAUCCUUGGUCAUAUCUGUUUAGAGAUUAUUGAUGAGAUAUAUGUUGGACAGUUUCGUGCCUGCUGAUGAAACCUAAUUUAAGUAUCUUGAGGUAUUGAACUACCAUUUGAAUGUUAAUAGCAGGACUGAGGCAGUAUGUUCUAUUUCCUUUUUAGAAGUAAAAUAUCCAAGGACUCUGGAUGAAAAACAAUUACAAUCCUUAUCCACAAAUAUUUUUAUAUCAUGGUAAUUCCAACAUCAUCUGUCACCCUCUGGACUGCAGGGCGAGAUAUCGAUCAAAUAUGAACCUGUCUAUCUGCUCAGACCAGGUGAUUAAUCUCUCCUUGCUAUUUUUCUUGAGGUGUGUGCAUCUAUCUGGACAAUUUAAUGAAAAUAUAUUGCUCAUACAAACCAUCACUACAUGUUAGUUCACUUUAACCCUAAUCAGUCAAAAGGUUAUCCCUUUUGCAUUUCAUGGACAUAAAGGUUUGGUGUUGACUGUCGAUCUUUUGUUAACAUGGGACCUUAAUACCGUAGGGAGUGUUUUUUUAUAUGUUUGGCACAACUGUAUAUUCCUCUGUUCCAGAUCCAGAUCCAGCUCUGUUCGUAGUUCAUGCCUGCUAAGACAUGUUCAAUUCCUUCCGAUAUGCUUUUGAAUAUGUUUUCAGUGAUGCCAUAUAGCUAUAAAUACUUUAUUUGCAUAAGGCCAGUAGGAUAUAUGCUUUAAUGCCCUUAAUUAGUUCUGAAAUGUUUAGCAUGGUCUUUGUCAAUCUGCUUUAUCCCAUUCAAAAAAGCCACAUGGUUGACUCUUGUGCUAUGCCUAGGCUAUCUAGAAACUGUUGAUUUCUGUGUGUGUGGAUACUGUUCUCUUUCUACUUGGCUCUGUUCAUAUCUUCAUGAUAUUGUACCUUCUUUUCAUUGUUAGCUUGCUAAAGGAAUGUUAGAUUCUUGUUGCGUGUCCAUUCCAAGGCCUCCCUCGUUAUUCUUAAUGCACACUGUAUUUGUGCCUUCUACCAGCCCCCUCGGUCUAUCUUUCCAAAAACAUCCUCUUGCUGAAGUAAUGUUUCAGAAGCUCGGCCUCCCCAAACCAGUCUACCAUGUGCGGCUGCUUGAGCAGAGAGGAUAUAGAUCACAGGUUGAAUUACCGUACAAAAGAAUGUUUCCAAGCUUCAGCACGCCGGGUUAGACUGUCAAGCCCCAUAUGUGUGGAUGGGAGGACAUCAAUGAAUUCUGCAGCCGAACGAGCCAUUGAAUAUAUGCAAACCAGUGAGAGCAAGGUGUUUGUUGACUAUAACUACUACCAGCUGCAACAGCAGAAACAGGCACACGAAGGAGUAUCAGGAAGGCUGUUAGAAUAAAUAGAAGAAAUCAACCAGCGCAACCAAACUAUCAAACAGAUAACUAGAGAAGCAUCCAACUAUCUGGAAGAAGUGCAUGAUGCAUCAAACAAAAUUCAUGGUCUUGCUGCCAUUGCCUUGGACCAUGUUUCCUCAGUGUCUCUUUUUGAUUUCAGGCAGGCUAUUCUAGAGAUUCAUGAUGCAGUUGUUGCACUUCAAAACACUACAUCUACUGCACGUGUCUCACUAGAGGAAAAAGGCAUGUACUCAGACGAUGAUGUGGCAGAUCCAGUCUACAGUGGCGUUUCUGGUGAUGAAACUGAUGAAUACUAUCAUCAUGAUGACUAUGGUCACUAUGUGCGAUCCCCAUGAGCAUGUUGUCCAGCCUGCUGAGCUAUCUGGUCAACAUGUGAAGCUCUAUAUGCAUAGCUUCACCACGAAGGCUUGCUUCUUCUUAGCAAGAACCAGUCUGGUUACUAUGUUUAGUCUACUGGUUUAUCUAAAUAAAAUGUGAAGCUCUAUGCUUACAGCUUCACUUUAGGAACUGUCUCCUUUUCAGACUACUCUCUGGUCAUGUAUAAAUAUGG